RNAcentral lists this ribosomal RNA (1056 nucleotides) under uncultured Bacteroidales bacterium. Its description in RNAcentral is "bacterial SSU rRNA". It matches the Rfam family "Bacterial small subunit ribosomal RNA", at positions 32 to 1087 of the family's 1533-position model. Lineage: Bacteria; Pseudomonadati; Bacteroidota; Bacteroidia; Bacteroidales. The record is from RNAcentral.
AACGCUAGCUACAGGCUUAACACAUGCAAGUCGAGGGGCAGCACAAGGCAGCAAUGCUGAGGUGGCGACCGGCGCACGGGUGCGUAACGCGUAUCCAACCUUCCCGUUACUCUUGGAUAGCCUUCCGAAAGGGAGAUUAAUACAGGAUGGUGUUCAAAUUCCGCAUGUUAUUUGAACUAAAGAUUUAUCGGUAACGGAUGGGGAUGCGUGACAUUAGGUAGAUGGCGGGGUAACGGCCCACCAUGCCUACGAUGUCUAGGGGUUCUGAGAGGAAGGUCCCCCACACUGGAACUGAGACACGGUCCAGACUCCUACGGGAGGCAGCAGUGAGGAAUAUUGGUCAAUGGUCGGAAGACUGAACCAGCCAAGUAGCGUGAAGGAUGAAGGUUCUAUGGAUUGUAAACUUCUUUUAUACGGGAAUAAAACCUCCCACGUGUGGGAGCUUGUAUGUACCGUAUGAAUAAGCAUCGGCUAACUCCGUGCCAGCAGCCGCGGUAAUACGGAGGAUGCGAGCGUUAUCCGGAUUUAUUGGGUUUAAAGGGAGCGUAGACGGGAGAUUAAGUCAGUUGUGAAAGGCUGCGGCUCAACCGCAGCACUGCAGUUGAUACUGGUUUCCUUGAGUUCGGUUGAGGUGUAUGGAAUUCGUGGUGUAGCGGUGAAAUGCUUAGAUAUCACGAAGAACUCCGAUUGCGAAGGCAGUACACUAAGCCGAUACUGACGUUGAGGCUCGAAAGUGUGGGUAUCAAACAGGAUUAGAUACCCUGGUAGUCCACACGGUAAACGAUGAAUACUCGCUGUUGGCGAUAUACGGUCAGCGGCCAAGCGAAAGCAUUAAGUAUUCCACCUGGGGAGUACGCCGGCAACGGUGAAACUCAAAGGAAUUGACGGGGGCCCGCACAAGCGGAGGAACAUGUGGUUUAAUUCGAUGAUACGCGAGGAACCUUACCCGGGCUUAAAUUGCACUGGACAGGCUCAGAGAUGGGCCCUUCUUCGGACCAGUGUGAAGGUGCUGCAUGGUUGUCGUCAGCUCGUGCCGUGAGGUGUCGGCUUAAGUGC